UACGAAGGGGGCUAGCGUUGCUCGGAAUCACUGGGCGUAAAGCGCACGUAGGCGGCUUCUUAAGUCAGGGGUGAAAUCCUGGAGCUCAACUCCAGAACUGCCUUUGAUACUGAGGAGCUUGAGUCCGGGAGAGGUGAGUGGAACUGCGAGUGUAGAGGUGAAAUUCGUAGAUAUCGGAAGGAACACCAGUGGCGAAAGCGGCUUCCUGGUCCGACACCGACGUUCAGGCACGAAAGCGUGGGGAGCAAACAGG
RNAcentral lists this ribosomal RNA (253 nucleotides) under uncultured bacterium. RNAcentral's name for it is "partial 16S ribosomal RNA". It matches the Rfam family "Bacterial small subunit ribosomal RNA", at positions 524 to 776 of the family's 1533-position model. The record is from RNAcentral.